RNAcentral lists this ribosomal RNA (467 nucleotides) under uncultured bacterium. RNAcentral describes it as "partial 16S ribosomal RNA". It matches the Rfam family "Bacterial small subunit ribosomal RNA", at positions 28 to 507 of the family's 1533-position model. The record is from RNAcentral.
GACGAACGCUGGCGGCGUGCUUAACACAUGCAAGUCGAACGGAAAGGCUCCAGCUUGCUGGAGUACUCGAGUGGCGAACGGGUGAGUAACACGUGGGUAAUCUGCCCUGCACUCUGGGAUAAGCCUGGGAAACUGGGUCUAAUACUGGAUAUGACCUUUCUCCUUAUGGGGUUUGGUGGAAAGUUUUUCGGUGUAGGAUGGGCGCGCGGCCUAUCAGCUUGUUGGUGAGGUUAUGGCCUACCAAGGCGACGACGGGUAGCCGGCCUGAGAGGGUGAACGGCCACAAUGGGACUGAGGUACGCACCAGACGGCAACGGGAGGCAGCAGGGGGGAAUAUUACGGAAUGAGCGGAAGCCUGAUAUGGCGGCCCUGCGAGAGGAAUACCGGCCUACGGGUGAUGAACCAAUUUCUACGGAAACAAGGCGUAAGUGACGGUACCUGAUGAGAAAGCACCGGCUAACUAUGUG